CCCGGUUCGUGAUUGUGGGAUCAGGACCAGGACCAGGACCAGGAGAGCGAAUUCCCUACUCGCAUGUGCGCUGCCGUAGUUGGGGAGAGGAAGAGGUAGACGUACGGAAUGCGCCCGCAGCAGCAGGAGGGGGAGGAGGGGAAAGGCAGAAGGUGAAUGCAUACACAUCUACAAUACGGACAUACAUACAUGCGGACACCUCAGCAAAGCAGCCCGGGUAACCACCCAGCCUCCGAAGCGGUUCAAGCUCCGAAACGACGGCAGGGUUGGAGCAUGCUGCAUCGUCAUCUGUGCACACGGCGCAGUGCUGCAGUUUACUGCAGCACCUUUUGUCGUUUGCAGCUCCUCUACAUCGUCAUCAUCAUCAUCAUCAUCAUCAUCACCCGCCAUGUGAUCAGCUGCCAACCUUAUGAUUACGUUGCGGUAGUGGAUAUGUCCCCCGCUUCUGUGCUGCUGUGACAGUGGUAGCGGUAGCGGGCUAGCUAGGUAGGUUGGCUUUCAAGGGCGCUUUGCAGGGCGCUUUUGGAAAGCUUAGUCCUUUGCUGGUUGUGAGAAGCUAUUGAGGAUUAUUAUUUAAGGGAAAGUCGCUGAGUUGGGGUGAGCAAGGCGGAGGGAGGUAGGAAGGAGGGGAAAAGUGGCUGGAUUUCAGCUGUGUCCGCUUACCCUUAGUUAUUGGUGCAACCUGUGGUAAGUACCUGAGGUUUUGCAGCCUGUUGGAUUUGUGUCCAAAGCGCCAUGUAAUGUAAGCUAGGUUUUUAAACGAAGUUGGAUCAGUAAGCUCGGGUAUGCUGUAUCUUGAGCCUAAUGUUCAACACGGUUCCCCGUUCCAUACGCCUGUCCGUCCUGUCCCAGCCAUCAUCACCUGCCAUCCGAGCAGUGCACGCCCGGGAGUUCUAUUGUUGUGGUCCUUCCCGUCCUCCGUGUUGCUCACCCGUCCGCAUAUGGUCUGCGAUUCGGUUCUGAUUACCCUUCCUUAGGGUCCCCAUUGAACCCGG
RNAcentral lists this long non-coding RNA (995 nucleotides) under Volvox carteri. Its description in RNAcentral is "long non-coding RNA (VCAR_LNC001958)". The record is from RNAcentral. Lineage: Eukaryota; Viridiplantae; Chlorophyta; Chlorophyceae; Chlamydomonadales; Volvocaceae.